GGGACUAGGGGGUGGGCGCCGAAAGGGAGGCGGGUGAGCAGCCCGGGAAGCGCGGCAGCGCGGAGGGGAGAGAAAGAGGCUCCCAAAAGGACGCCUCGGAUCCCCCCACCCCGAGAAUGAGUCUUUCCUAGGAGGCGGAUCGCCGAGGAGCCGGAGCCCACCUAGUAUGCCACCAGGUGGCGCGCGGCCACCAGCGUCUGGGCUUGCCCUAGGCGUCCGCCUUCAGCGAUCCUGUCUGUAAAGGGCUCAUCGCGGCCGCCUCCCGAGGUCUAGCUAGGUUCUACCUGGUCAGUUCGAAGACAAAGAAUGAGAACACUGAUUCCUUGCUCGCCUCUAGUCUCCCGGGUUAUGCCGCAGCUUCCUCACUGGCUGCCCACUCCCCCGCCUGUCUCCCACCCUGACUACAACCCCGCCCCACCAAUCUGUCGGCUUGUCUAUGUCAUUGCUUGCUUAAUUUUUAAGUUCUUAUACUGGCUCGCACUCCUGCCUGAUCUGACCCCUUCCACAUUUCUCAGCCCUUCCCUCACCUGCUUGGCAGGAUGUUAUGUGAUGCUUCCUUGUAUUUACGGGUUGAGUGGCUGUACCUUAACAACACCAGUUAACCUGUACUGCAUCCUUAAUCUGUAACUGCUACUGUUCUGAGAGUUUGACAUUAACGCCAUGUUCUCUAAACCUCACAUCUGCUUUAUGGGGAGCUUUAGCUCCAAUAUUGCCCCUAUCGUAUACUGAUGAAGUCACCUGUCAGUAAUGGGGAUUCCAAACCCAGUUGGUCAAACACCAGAACUUAAACACUUGGCUCCUUCACACUGUUGGCUUCACCCAGUCCACUCCCAAACUCCUAUUCAUCUUUCAAGAUCCUGUUCAAAUAUCCUCUCAUGGA
Non-coding RNA from Odocoileus virginianus texanus, 880 nucleotides. The record is from RefSeq and is a predicted model, not a curated record. NCBI's taxonomy places the organism in Eukaryota, Metazoa, Chordata, Mammalia, Artiodactyla, Cervidae.